GACGAACGCUGGCGGCGUGCUUAACACAUGCAAGUCGAACGGAAAGGCCCUGCUUUUGUGGGGUGCUCGAGUGGCGAACGGGUGAGUAACACGUGAGUAACCUGCCCUUGACUUUGGGAUAACUUCAGGAAACUGGGGCUAAUACCGGAUAGGAGCUCCUGCUGCAUGGUGGGGGUUGGAAAGUUUCGGCGGUUGGGGAUGGACUCGCGGCUUAUCAGCUUGUUGGUGGGGUAGUGGCUUACCAAGGCUUUGACGGGUAGCCGGCCUGAGAGGGUGACCGGCCACAUUGGGACUGAGAUACGGCCCAGACUCCUACGGGAGGCAGCAGUGGGGAAUAUUGCACGAUGGGCGGAAGCAUGAUGCAGCAACGCCGCGUGCUGGAUGACGGCCUUCGGGUUGUAAACAGCUUUCGCCUGUGACGAAGAGUGAGUGACGGUAAUGUGUAAAGAAGCACCGGCUAACUACGUG
RNAcentral lists this ribosomal RNA (468 nucleotides) under uncultured bacterium. Its description in RNAcentral is "partial 16S ribosomal RNA". It matches the Rfam family "Bacterial small subunit ribosomal RNA", at positions 28 to 507 of the family's 1533-position model. The record is from RNAcentral.